Long non-coding RNA from Capra hircus (goat), 827 nucleotides. RefSeq lists it as uncharacterized. The transcript is spliced from 2 exons. The record is from RefSeq and is a predicted model, not a curated record. NCBI's taxonomy places the organism in Eukaryota, Metazoa, Chordata, Mammalia, Artiodactyla, Bovidae.
GUGGUGUCGCAGAGUUGGACGUGACUGAGCGAGUUCACUUUCACUUUAUAAUCCUACAAAGAAAAAAAGGGAUCAAGUGAUGUACAUGCUUAAGGAAUUUGAGGAAAAAUGUAGAUUUUGGAGGGGAAAGAAAGGACAACUGAGUUACAACAAAAGUUAUGAAGAAUUGCAAGUACUUGUCCACUGGACAUUUCUAGCGAUCCCUUAACUCUAAAAAGUACCCUGCGGAGAGAGGCCUGGUUAGAUUGCACCGCUGACUCAAUGGACAUGACUUUGAGCAAACUGGGAGGUAGCCAAGGACGGAAGCCUGGCACGCUGCAGUCCGCGGGGUCAGAGUCAGGCACGCCUGAGUGAGUGAGCAGCAACAGAGGCCAGUGGGAGACAAGGUGUCCGUGUGCCUGUGUCCCCACCCCAGGGUCGCGGGGCUGGGAUGGGCAUGCCUGCAGGAUGGGGUCGCCUUUCCCCUGGGCCUUUGUUGUGUUCACUGUGAACUCUUCCUCAGCUUUGGCAUUUCAUUUUCCCAUGAUUUCCUUUGAUUUCUUGGCUUCUUUUAAAAAUAAAUCAUCUACAGCAGAAACUAGCACGCUGGUGGUAAAGCAACUGUACUCCAACAGAAAGGAAAAGAGCAAAGGAGCUCAUCAGAGAAGGACGGACGCCCCCUCUGUGCCCUCUCCUGAAGACAGGUCCCUCAGGCAGACCGCUGGCCCGCGGAGUCCAGGGAUCCUCCUCAUCCUUGCAUCCAGAUGUCACUCCUCUAGGACGUCACCAUUAGCACGUAGUGUAUUUGCCUGUUAGAAUCUGUGACAUAAAUGCCAUCCUUUACUCAG